GACGAACGCUGGCGGCGUGCUUAACACAUGCAAGUCGAACGGAAAGGCCCUGCUUUUGUGGGGUGCUCGAGUGGGGAACGGGUGAGUAACACGUGAGUAAUCUGCCCUUGACUUUGGGGUAACUUCAGGAAACUGGGGCUAAUACCGGAUAGGAGCUCCUGCUGCAUGGGGGGGGUUGGAAAGUUUCGGCGGUUGGGGAUGGACUCGCGGCUUAUGAGCUUGUUGGUGGGGUAGUGGCUUACCAAGGCUUUGACGGGUAGCCGGCCUGAGAGGGUGACCGGCCACAUUGGGACUGAGGUACGGCCCAGACUCCUACGGGAGGCAACAGUGGGGAAUAUUGCACAAUGGGCGCAAGCCUGAUGCAGCAGCGCCGCGUGCGGGAUGACGGCCUUCGGGUUGUAAACCGCUUUCGCCUGUGACGAAGCGUGAGUGACGGUAAUGGGUAAAGAAGCACCGGCUAACUACGUG
This 468-nucleotide ribosomal RNA is filed under the name uncultured bacterium. Its description in RNAcentral is "partial 16S ribosomal RNA". It matches the Rfam family "Bacterial small subunit ribosomal RNA", at positions 28 to 507 of the family's 1533-position model. The record is from RNAcentral.